UACGGAGGGUGCGAGCGUUAAUCGGAAUUACUGGGCGUAAAGGGUUCGUAGGUGGUUUGAUAAGUUAUCUGUGAAAGCCCUGGGCUCAACCUGGGAAGGCCAGAUAAGACUGUUAGACUCGAGUACGGGAGAGGGCAGUGGAAUUUCCGGUGUAGCGGUGAAAUGCGUAGAGAUCGGAAGGAACACCAGUGGCGAAGGCGGCUGCCUGGCCUGAUACUGACACUGAAGGACGAAAGCGUGGGGAGCAAACAGG
Molecule: ribosomal RNA, 253 nt
Filed under: uncultured bacterium
Lineage: Bacteria
Description: partial 16S ribosomal RNA
Rfam family: Bacterial small subunit ribosomal RNA
Source: RNAcentral